This 395-nucleotide ribosomal RNA is filed under the name Babesia gibsoni. Its description in RNAcentral is "SSU rRNA". It matches the Rfam family "Eukaryotic small subunit ribosomal RNA", at positions 450 to 901 of the family's 1831-position model. The record is from RNAcentral. Lineage: Eukaryota; Apicomplexa; Aconoidasida; Piroplasmida; Babesiidae.
CCUGACACAGGGAGGUAGUGACAAGAAAUAACAAUACAGGGCAAUUGUCUUGUAAUUGGAAUGAUGGUGACGUAAAAUCUCACCAGAGUAACAAUUGGAGGGCAAGUCUGGUGCCAGCAGCCGCGGUAAUUCCAGCUCCAAUAGCGUAUAUUAAACUUGUUGCAGUUAAAAAGCUCGUAGUUGAAUUUCUGCGUUGCCCGACUCGGCUACUUGCCUUGUCUGGUUUCGCUUUUGGGGUUUUCCCCUUUUUACUUUGAGAAAAUUAGAGUGUUUCAAGCAGACUUGUGUCUUGAAUACUUCAGCAUGGAAUAAUAAAGUAGGACUUUGGUUCUAUUUUGUUGGUUUGUGAACCUUAGUAAUGGUUAAUAGGAACGGUUGGGGGCAUUCGUAUUUAA